AAACCAGCACCUCAAGUGGUCAGGAUGAUUAUUGGGCCUAAAGCAUCCGUAGCCGGCUCUGUAAGUUUUCGGUUAAAUCUGUACGCUCAACGUACAGGCUGCCGGGAAUACUGCAGAGCUAGGGAGUGUGAGAGGUAGACGGUACUCGGGAGGAAGUGGUAAAAUGCUUUGAUCUCUCGAUGACCACCUGUGGCGAAGGCGGUCUACCAGAACACGUCCGACGGUGAGGGAUGAAAGCUGGGGGAGCAAACCGGAUUAGAAACCCUAGUAGUCC
RNAcentral lists this ribosomal RNA (274 nucleotides) under uncultured bacterium. RNAcentral describes it as "partial 16S ribosomal RNA". It matches the Rfam family "Archaeal small subunit ribosomal RNA", at positions 473 to 747 of the family's 1478-position model. The record is from RNAcentral.